RNAcentral lists this ribosomal RNA (485 nucleotides) under uncultured Actinomycetes bacterium. RNAcentral's name for it is "bacterial SSU rRNA". It matches the Rfam family "Bacterial small subunit ribosomal RNA", at positions 355 to 849 of the family's 1533-position model. The record is from RNAcentral. Lineage: Bacteria; Bacillati; Actinomycetota; Actinomycetes.
UGGGGAAUAUUGCACAAUGGGCGAAAGCCUGAUGCAGCGACGCCGCGUGAGGGAUGACGGCCUUCGGGUUGUAGACCUCUUUCAGCAGGGAAGAAGCGAGAGUGACGGUACCUGCAGAAGAAGCGCCGGCUAACUACGUGCCAGCAGCCGCGGUAAUACGUAGGGCGCAAGCGUUGUCCGGAAUUAUUGGGGCGUAAAGAGCUCGUAGGCGGCUUGUCACGUCGGGUGUGAAAGCCCGGGGCUUAACCCCGGGUCUGCAUUCGAUACGGGCUAGCUAGAGUGUGGUAGGGGAGAUCGGAAUUCCUGGUGUAGCGGUGAAAUGCGCAGAUAUCAGGAGGAACACCGGUGGCGAAGGCGGAUCUCUGGGCCAUUACUGACGCUGAGGAGCGAAAGCGUGGGGAGCGAACAGGAUUAGAUACCCUGGUAGUCCACGCCGUAAACGGUGGGAACUAGGUGUUGGCGACAUUCCACGUCGUCGGUGCCGC